RNAcentral lists this ribosomal RNA (383 nucleotides) under uncultured bacterium. Its description in RNAcentral is "bacterial SSU rRNA". It matches the Rfam family "Bacterial small subunit ribosomal RNA", at positions 30 to 414 of the family's 1533-position model. The record is from RNAcentral.
AUUGAACGCUGGCGGCAUGCCUUACACAUGCAAGUCGAACGGCAGCACGGGAGCAAUCCUGGUGGCGAGUGGCGAACGGGUGAGUAAUGUAUCGGAACGUGCCCAGUCGUGGGGAUAACGUAGCGAAAGCUACGCUAAUACCGCAUACGAUCUAUGGAUGAAAGCGGGGGAUCGCAAGACCUCGCGCGAUUGGAGCGGCCGAUAUCAGAUUAGGUAGUUGGUGAGGUAAAGGCUCACCAAGCCGACGAUCUGUAGCUGGUCUGAGAGGACGACCAGCCACACUGGGACUGAGACACGGCCCAGACUCCUACGGGAGGCAGCAGUGGGGAAUUUUGGACAAUGGGCGCAAGCCUGAUCCAGCAAUGCCGCGUGCAGGAUGAAGG